CUUCUGUGGCCUCCCCUGGGGGGAGACCAGUCACACAUCUAGACCUGAGGAAUCAGCUGCAGUUCUGCCAACCCCACGAUGCCCGAGGCAGUGUUCCCUGAUGGCAUCCUCUAUUGGGGUUCUCUGGAAAAACAGAAUCAAGGGGAUGUUGUCAUCCAAGGAGGAUCAGAUGAUGUGUGAAGGAAAAAGGCAUUUGUUUGGCAUCUUGAGAUUACAAUUUGGGGUACAAGUCUAAUUGAUGUCCAAGGGCAGGAGAGUAACCAAACACCAUAGGUUCUCCUCUUGAUGGGUGCAAAAUCAAAGAAUAAGCAGGAGAUGAAAGAAUGGAGAAAGAUUUAUCACUGGAAGCAGGUAAAGAGAGGCCUGGGGUGGUUUACAAAAAAUCCUGUCCUGGGGAAACAGAGGAACGGAAGCGCAGGGAUCUUAUGUGGGGAGUCUAUACCUAUGCAAACGGGAAAGCGCUUUAGGGGCUGACACAUUCCUGAGCAUCUCUGUUUAAGGUCAUAGUUCAAGAAGGAAAGAUGCCUCAUUCAAGGGUCCUAAUGAUGGCAGAGGUGAACCCUUCUGGGCAUGCUCAGUACCAUGGCUAACUUGGCUAAGUUCACUCUAGGUUACAUAAAGAAUGAGUCAGAGUGGCUUGGUGACCUUAGCUGGUAUUCUAUAAGUUCUUUCAAAGAGUCUUAGUUGAAACAAAAAGAAAAGGCAUGUCUGAAAAUGUGGUAAGUCAGAAGUGUAUCCCCACAGGUGCCUGCCUUGCUCAGCAGCUCACAGGAGCAGAAGGGGGUCCAGCUUUAUAAGAAAGAACAACGCAUCUUUCCUCUGCCUUUUGUUCUGUUAGUCCCUCAGCUGAUUGGAUGGUGCCUGCCAAUCAGAUCUUCCUCAUUCAGCUGCGGAUUCAAAUGUCAGUCUCUUCUAGAAGCACCCUAUGGCUCACUGUGAGGAUGGCCUUAGGCCUGAGCCUAAGCAACUCCAUUUUAAAACUCUAGUUUGAAACCUGCAGUCUCACCAGGCACUCCUAACGGAGCCCUCCAGUAUGGCCCUCAGGCACAAACAAGUCACUUCUCCCCACCCUGGUAAACUCAGAGUGAAUCCUCUGGCAGGUUGUCCUCCCCCUGAUAAGGGGGAAAGGCGGGAAACUCAGGGUGGGACCACCAGACCAGAUGCCUUAACCCCACGGUAAAUAACAUCACUGAGAUACCCGGUGGCAGCUGAUAGGGAUUGAAGCGGGGGGGUCAAAAGCCCCAAAAUUUAGUACAAAUGAAGUUGCAAAUGAACAGACACUCAGCCAGCUGACACUGAUGCACACAAGCCUGAUGAGGACCUGGUCAGACAUCCCAACUCCUCUCACCUGCCUGAUCCUCUGCAUUGUUCUCACGGCUCUCAAACUCUGCAGCAGCCUCUUGACUCCGGUGAGAAAAGGACUUCUCCCUAGGACCGCCUCCUCAGCCAGCCUAGGCUCCAGCCCAGGAGAAGCCUGCCUUGGUUCCUGACCUGAUCACCACGGUCUGAGUGAGUGUGCAUCUGCUGGACUUAGAGCCUAAGGCCUGAGACUAGAUCUGGCACUUGAACUUAGCAUGCAGGGGAAUGUCUCUUGUGAGCUGUCAUAAUUAGGUGUGUUUGCAGUGCUUAGGUUAAUCUAGAAUUGUUUGCUGUGAAUUGAUUAUGUCUAUUGCAGUGCCUAGCAUUAAGGAUUGUCAUUUUCUUGAUUAGGAACCUAUAGAGUGAAAUUGUAUUGAGUGAUUUGAGUGAAUAAAGCAUUCACAAAGGCAGAAGAGUGU
RNAcentral lists this long non-coding RNA (1778 nucleotides) under Marmota monax (woodchuck). The record is from RNAcentral. Lineage: Eukaryota; Metazoa; Chordata; Mammalia; Rodentia; Sciuridae.